This 469-nucleotide ribosomal RNA is filed under the name uncultured organism. RNAcentral describes it as "partial 16S ribosomal RNA". It matches the Rfam family "Bacterial small subunit ribosomal RNA", at positions 331 to 797 of the family's 1533-position model. The record is from RNAcentral.
GUACACUCCUACGGGAGGCAGCAGUGAGGAAUAUUGGACAAUGGGUGGAAGCCUGAUCCAGCCAUCCCGCGUGCAGGAAGACGGCCCUAUGGGUUGUAAACUGCUUUUAUCUGGGGAUAAACCUACUUACGUGUAAGUAGCUGAAGGUACCAGAAGAAUAAGCACCGGCUAACUCCGUGCCAGCAGCCGCGGUAAUACGGAGGGUGCAAGCGUUAUCCGGAUUUAUUGGGUUUAAAGGGUCCGUAGGCGGACUGAUAAGUCAGUGGUGAAAUCCGACAGCUUAACUGUCGAACUGCCAUUGAUACUGUUAGUCUUGAGUAAGGUUGAAGUGGCUGGAAUAAGUAGUGUAGCGGUGAAAUGCAUAGAUAUUACUUAGAACACCAAUUGCGAAGGCAGGUCACUAAGUCUUAACUGACGCUGAUGGACGAAAGCGUGGGGAGCGAACAGGAUUAGAAACCCUAGUAGUCCC